Molecule: long non-coding RNA, 300 nt
Organism: Austrofundulus limnaeus
Lineage: Eukaryota; Metazoa; Chordata; Actinopteri; Cyprinodontiformes; Rivulidae
Exons: 2
Source: RefSeq, a predicted model, not a curated record
UUGUCUGCCCCUUAUCUGCCACUGUCUCGCUCUCUGACCACCGGCUCUCGGACCUGUUUCUGUCACCUGGACCUUGCCCCUUGGAUCACGUUUUUGGAUUUAACUAACAAUCUCGGACCACACAGUUUUUGACCUCAGCCUGCCCCAAGGAAAUCGGAACCAAGCCCAAGCCCCAAAGAUCACAGGACUCUGCAUCCUCACCUGGACUGGUCGAUUCACUCUCAUCCCCAGAAGAGUGUGCGGUCCAGGGGUUCAGAUUCCCGACCAGUCUCCAUUUUAAAUAAAGUACUUAAAACUUUA